RNAcentral lists this ribosomal RNA (301 nucleotides) under uncultured bacterium. RNAcentral's name for it is "bacterial SSU rRNA". It matches the Rfam family "Bacterial small subunit ribosomal RNA", at positions 338 to 634 of the family's 1533-position model. The record is from RNAcentral.
CCAUACACGGGAGGCAGCAGUGAGGAAUAUUGGUCAAUGGUCGGGAGACUGAACCAGCCAAGCCGCGUGAGGGAUGAAGGUACAGAGUAUCGUAAACCUCUUUUGUCAGGGAACAAAGGCGGGGACGCGUCCCCGGAUGAGUGUACCUGAAGAAAAAGCAUCGGCUAACUCCGUGCCAGCAGCCGCGGUGAUACGGAGGAUGCGAGCGUUAUCCGGAUUUAUUGGGUUUAAAGGGUGCGCAGGCGGUCUGUUAAGUCAGCGGUCAAAGCCCGGGGCCCAACCCCGGCCCGCCGUUGAAACU